Molecule: ribosomal RNA, 460 nt
Filed under: uncultured bacterium
Lineage: Bacteria
Description: partial 16S ribosomal RNA
Rfam family: Bacterial small subunit ribosomal RNA
Source: RNAcentral
CCUACGGGUGGCAGCAGUGAGGAAUAUUGGUCAAUGGACGAGAGUCUGAACCAGCCAAGUAGCGUGAAGGAUGACUGCCCUAUGGGUUGUAAACUUCUUUUAUAUGGGAAUAAAAUGUUCCACGUGUGGGAUUUUGUAUGUACCAUAUGAAUAAGGAUCGGCUAACUCCGUGCCAGCAGCCGCGGUAAUACGGAGGAUCCGAGCGUUAUCCGGAUUUAUUGGGUUUAAAGGGUGCGUAGGUGGAUUGUUAAGUCAGUUGUGAAAGUUUGCGGCUCAACCGUAAAAUUGCAGUUGAAACUGGCAGUCUUGAGUGCAGUAGAGGUGGGCGGAAUUCGUGGUGUAGCGGUGAAAUGCUUAGAUAUCACGAAGAACUCCGAUGGCGAAGGCAGCUUACUGGACUGCAACUGACACUGAGGCUCGAAAGUGAGGGUAUCAAACAGGAUUAGAUACCCCUGUAGUC